This 828-nucleotide ribosomal RNA is filed under the name Triticum aestivum (bread wheat). Its description in RNAcentral is "partial small subunit ribosomal RNA". The record is from RNAcentral. Lineage: Eukaryota; Viridiplantae; Streptophyta; Magnoliopsida; Poales; Poaceae.
AUGUUUAAUCAGUUUGAUAUGACCUCUAAUCUUGGUGAUGAUUCUGUGUCGAAUGACUUAUUGCAUGUUUGCUUAUUUAAGCAUGUUGUAGAAUGUAAAUUUGAUGCAAGUAAGGUUUAUUCACCAAUGUUGGAAUGGUUUAAUGAUGAAUAUUGUCAAUCUUUUGAUAUGAAUAAGAGCUUCACUUAUAUGUGCAAACUGAGUUGCAAUAUUUUCAUGCAUUUUACUUAUGAUAAUAUUUUGGCUUUAUAUUUUAUAAUCUAUGACGGUUCCUCAUCUAUUCAUGUGUCAUAUGUGCAAAAAUCAAGGGAAGUAAAAAUGGAUGACAUAUACAUAUACAACAUGUACACCUUGUCUCUUUUGUUAGCCACAUUUCAGAUUAAGGAACGCCGAGGACGGCUUUGUUUUCAAGAAAGGGAGGAUGAUGAGGACAUGACUACCUUGGAUAUGACCAAAAAUAUUGCAUACAUAUAUAUUUGUGAGGUGAUUUCUAAUGCAAACUAUGCAAUAAUUUAUUUAUGUCAUCCAGGACAAAAAUACUUCACAAACUUUUGUGUCAUGUCUAAUUGCAGGUGUAUGGGACAUUUGUACAAUCCACAUAUGAAGAUAAGGGAGAAAGAGAUAUUUACUUGCUGUUCAAAAAGUUCUCUCAUGUCACUUUUGGCCCAAGAGAAGAUAGAGUCCAAGUCUCUCACGUUCUGGAUUCAGAUUCGGACUGCACAGACAUACCUGACUCAAAACGCCAACAACUUUUUCAUACGGACUCCGAAUUGGGUGAUUCUUUUUUUGUUGGAAACUAGAUUUCGUGCACUUUCCAACCCAAUUUGA